UUCUGCGGUCGUACUCGCCGUUCUUCUUCAGAUUGUACCAGAAGACACCCGUGCCCGUUUUUGGUGUUACGACCACGUCACUGGUGUAGAAGGCUGUACUUCCGCCAGCUUUUACGUCGUUGAGCUGCGAGAGAACCAGCACAUCUUCCAAGAAGUGAAGAUAAUAAAUGAUUAGAUGUUUUCAAUACACCUACGUAAAGCAUAAAGGUAGCAAUGCGAUCCCCAGCCCUCGAGCAUAUCGGGUUAUCGUCACACUGCAUCGGAAAUUAAAAUAGAUUAACAGGAAAGCUAAUAAAACAUAUGGCACAAUUCCCAGAACUCCAAAUAUCGGGUAAAUAGUGUCCGAAACAUUAAGGUCUCCCAAAUAAGCUCAAGUGUCUGUACUGACCGUCGAGUUCACGUGUUUGGCGAAGACGUCGACGUGGGGAUUCAGAUGACCCCCUGUGCCGUAGUAACGGACCUGAAUGGGAGGAAAUGGAUUCUGUGAAUCAGUGAUAAUAAAAUGGAAAUGAUUC
Long non-coding RNA from Penaeus monodon (black tiger shrimp), 515 nucleotides. RefSeq lists it as uncharacterized. NCBI's taxonomy places the organism in Eukaryota, Metazoa, Arthropoda, Malacostraca, Decapoda, Penaeidae. The transcript has 3 exons. The record is from RefSeq and is a predicted model, not a curated record.